Lathyrus oleraceus (garden pea) is the source of this 1553-nucleotide long non-coding RNA. RefSeq lists it as uncharacterized. The record is from RefSeq and is a predicted model, not a curated record. NCBI's taxonomy places the organism in Eukaryota, Viridiplantae, Streptophyta, Magnoliopsida, Fabales, Fabaceae. The transcript has 2 exons.
UAUUAGGAUAAUGGUCUCUCUCCAUUUGUCUGUGAACAACAAUACACUCACGUACACUCACUUAGUGGGGAGGGUUUUAUUCAGCUUUUAAUUUUCACAAAACGUAUUAAUUAAGGAGGCAGACCAAUUCAAUGUUGACAGGUGGAGCUGAGUGAUUUGGGCUUGUGUGAUUUUCGAAAGAAAUUCAAGAUAAAUAAAGAGAGUAUUGGUGAACCACCCUAAAAAAAAGAAAAAUGAAAGAGAACUCAAAAUUAUUGUAUUCCAGUUUUCUUUCAUUAUCUUCUUCGCCUACCAUCACCACUGGUGAACAACUAUUUCACUGCCACUCCACCACCGUGAAAAAACCUACCUCAACCACUCCUAAUCACCACUAACCUCCUUCUCCAUUUUUUUCACCGUCGUGCAAACCCAUAACCACCUUCAGUUAAAACUUUAUCCGAUUCAUAAAUAACUCACCCGAAAUCACCUUAAAAUCUCCACUAUAAAACACAACCAAACGCUCGUUGUCACCACUUCCAUACUCCCUCCUGAGACAAGCUAAACGUGACUAAAACCACCUCUGUCCAUCACUUUAUCUCCACCAUAACACUACCACUUAAGCCUCUAUCUUCCUCAUUUUUGAUCAGCAAUAAUAACAACCUCACUGUGAAUUUGUUUUAGUGGGCAUGUUUCUUCCAACAAAAAUCCAUUCCUUUGACGACAACAUCCUUUUAUCUGGUGAUGGUUUAUCAGCAAUAUGACCACGGGGGAAUGGUUGAAACAUCAUGUCUCUUACCCCCAUGUCUUGGGUUCAAAUCCUUAUUGCCACUUUUCCUUGUAAUUUUUCCAUUUAUCUCAUUUUUUUCAUUCUUUUUCCACCUUGUUUUUUGUUUUCUUUUGCAUUUUUUUAACUAUCCAAAUUGAUUUUCUUUCUAAUUCUUGUGAGAUAGACUUCUUAUUUGUGACAUUAUAUUUGUAGCUUAAUUUUUUUCCACUUAUUUUAUCCUGAUUACAACCAUUGCAAAUGCCCCAUGUGAAUGUUUAAAAUAAUGCGAUACUUGUUGAAUUUUUGCCUUGUUCCUUUGAAUAUUUUCGUUGCUAAACAUUGGAUUUUAAUUCGUUGAUCCGAUAUUUACCAUGUUGUUAUUCCAUUGAUUAUUUUAUCGAUACAUUGAUGGUAUUUCGCCGCGUUUUGAUCCAUCGCAUACGAUAUUUCCAUUGUUGUCAAUAUGCGCAAACCGACUUUAAACACAUUACCUAGGGUUUUGCUUGCACCUCUCAAUUUCAUUUAUUCCUUGCAUGUCAUUGCAUUAUGUGACUUUGAUUCGCAACCUCGCAUCCCAAUUUUAAUAUAUGCACACUUCAAUUUCACUUUUUUCGAUUUAAUUAUUGAACGUGUUGUACAUAUAACUUGUGUGUUGCUAUUUUUUUCACAAGGCUUACUCUUAGGCCUUCUUACAAUGAGACCAUUCUCUUGCAUUUACACUAAUUUAUUAUUGUUUGUUGAUUGAGCUUUAUUUAAUUGUUUCAUUAUCUUGUAUCUCCAUGAGACAAAAUGAACCCAAUUCCCAUGA